GGUGGCACUACUGUUCUGUGUGUUCGCUGUGCUAACAGGUAGCCUUUUGUUAGACUAUUUUGUGUUUUGUAUUUACAGCAGGCUGUUCAUGUCUCCUCA
Long non-coding RNA from Melanotaenia boesemani (Boeseman's rainbowfish), 99 nucleotides. RefSeq lists it as uncharacterized. The record is from RefSeq and is a predicted model, not a curated record. NCBI's taxonomy places the organism in Eukaryota, Metazoa, Chordata, Actinopteri, Atheriniformes, Melanotaeniidae. The transcript is spliced from 3 exons.